UCUCGGCUUACGCCGGCAGUCUCCUUAGAGUUCCUCCAUCUUGCGACGGGUUGGCAACUAAGGACAGGGGUUGCGCUCGUUGCGGGACUUAACCCAACACCUCACGACACGAGCUGACGACAGCCAUGCACCACCUGUCACCGGCCCCGAAGGACCCCACAUCUCUGCGAGUUUUCCGGCGAUGUCAAACCCAGGUAAGGUUCUUCGCGUUGCAUCGAAUUAAACCACAUGCUCCACCGCUUGUGCGGGCCCCCGUCAAUUCCUUUGAGUCUCAGCCUUGCGGCCGUACUCCCCAGGCGGGGCACUUACUGCGUUAGCGACGGCACUCAGAGGGUCGCUCCCCCAAGCACCUAGUGCCCAUCGUUUACGGCGUGGACUAC
This 380-nucleotide unclassified non-coding RNA is filed under the name uncultured bacterium. RNAcentral describes it as "contains 16S-23S intergenic spacer region". The record is from RNAcentral.